Molecule: ribosomal RNA, 758 nt
Filed under: uncultured bacterium
Lineage: Bacteria
Description: bacterial SSU rRNA
Rfam family: Bacterial small subunit ribosomal RNA
Source: RNAcentral
AGAGUUUGAUCAUGGCUCAGAUUGAACGCUGGCGGCAUGCCUUACACAUGCAAGUCGAACGGCAGCACGGGGGCAACCCUGGUGGCGAGUGGCGAACGGGUGAGUAAUACAUCGGAACGUGUCCUGUAGUGGGGGAUAGCCCGGCGAAAGCCGGAUUAAUACCGCAUACGCUCUACGGAGGAAAGGGGGGGAUCUUAGGACCUCCCGCUACAGGGGCGGCCGAUGGCAGAUUAGCUAGUUGGUGGGGUAAAGGCCUACCAAGGCGACGAUCUGUAGCUGGUCUGAGAGGACGACCAGCCACACUGGGACUGAGACACGGCCCAGACUCCUACGGGAGGCAGCAGUGGGGAAUUUUGGACAAUGGGGGCAACCCUGAUCCAGCAAUGGCCGCGUGUGUGAAGAAGGCCUUCGGGUUGUAAAGCACUUUUGUCCGGAAAGAAAACGCCGUGGUUAAUACCCGUGGCGGAUGACGGUACCGGAAGAAUAAGCACCGGCUAACUACGUGCCAGCAGCCGCGGUAAUACGUAGGGUGCAAGCGUUAAUCGGAAUUACUGGGCGUAAAACGUGCGCAGGCGGUCCGCUAAGACAGAUGUGAAAUCCCCGGGCUUAACCUGGGAACUGCAUUUGUGACUGGCGGGCUAGAGUAUGGCAGAGGGGGGUAGAAUUCCACGUGUAGCAGUGAAAUGCGUAGAGAUGUGGAGGAAUACCGAUGGCGAAGGCAGCCCCCUGGGCCAAUACUGACGCUCAUGCACGAAAGC